RNAcentral lists this RNase P RNA (346 nucleotides) under Bacteroidales bacterium. Its description in RNAcentral is "RNase P RNA component class A". It matches the Rfam family "Bacterial RNase P class A". From Rfam's summary of the family: Ribonuclease P (RNase P) is a ubiquitous endoribonuclease, found in archaea, bacteria and eukarya as well as chloroplasts and mitochondria. Its best characterised activity is the generation of mature 5'-ends of tRNAs by cleaving the 5'-leader elements of precursor-tRNAs. The record is from RNAcentral. Lineage: Bacteria; Pseudomonadati; Bacteroidota; Bacteroidia; Bacteroidales.
CAGGUGAAACAGCCUGUCGGGUCCCGCUAACCGGGAUCAGGAAAGUCCGGGCAACACUGGGCACCCCGCUUUCGAAAGAAAGACGUUCGUAAGGGUAUGGCAACAGUACAGAAAAUAACCGCCUUGACAUUGCUUUCAGGGUAAGGGUGAAAAGGUGAGGUAAGAGCUCACCGGCAGGUAUGGUGACAUGCCUGGCCGACUGCCCCGGGGGUUGUAAGGCCAAAUAUACCGGCACAUGAGGAUGGCCCGUCCGAUGCCGGGGGGUAGGCUGCGUAGAUAAAUGACAGGUCCCAUCUUUGCUAAAGCUAUGGUGGACACAGAACCCGGCUUAUGUUUCGCCUUUUUU